CAGCCGCCGCGGUAAUACGAAGGGUGCAAGCGUUACUCGGAAUUACUGGGCGUAAAGCGUGCGUAGGUGGUGGCUUAAGUCCGUUGUGAAAGCCCUGGGCUCAACCUGGGAAUUGCAGUGGAUACUGGGUCACUAGAGUGUGGUAGAGGAUAGUGGAAUUUCCGGUGUAGCAGUGAAAUGCGUAGAGAUCGGAAGGAACAUCUGUGGCGAAGGCGGCUAUCUGGGCCAACACUGACACUGAGGCACGAAAGCGUGGGGAGCAAACAGGAUUAGAUACCCGGGUAGUCCCUGUCUCUUAUAC
Molecule: ribosomal RNA, 301 nt
Filed under: uncultured bacterium
Lineage: Bacteria
Description: partial 16S ribosomal RNA
Rfam family: Bacterial small subunit ribosomal RNA
Source: RNAcentral